AAGAAAAAGAAUGUGGAUCUCAUUUAUCUCUUUCUGUGUGUGGGGGGAAAACUGAUGUGAGAGGACAGAUGGCUUGAGGAUUACAGACAAGACAAAUCACUCCAAUCAGAAAUUCUUCCUUUCCUCCACUGAGUGAAUUGGAUGAAGCCUUGUAUUCAGAGGAAUCUUAAUUGAAGCAGGAGGAAGGUGCCGUGAGACAACAGAGGCCUCUGCUGUGCAUACGUUAUUUGAUUGGAUCGAUGGUAAACUUAGGAGAUAUAUAGGAAGAUACACCAUUUUAUACAUGAGAAAGUCAAGCACCGGACAGCUCCAGAUCAAUCGAAGAAUUUAAACACUCAUGGAAUUCAGUACAGCUGGAUCGGACUUAGCUUUGUUUGUUUUGGUGACUAUCUUUCCACAUUCAUGAUGAGAUUCCGAAUUGUACCCCUCACCCUAAAAGGGGUCUGGCCAACAGUCGGUCUCCUCAUAGAAAACACUGUGUUCUCUCAAGACAAACUAAGUCUUUUGACUUCUUUUUUGUUACAGAUUAUUUAAAAUUUUCCUAACAUAUGUGUGAUUAUAUAGGGCUU
Long non-coding RNA from Hyaena hyaena (striped hyena), 569 nucleotides. RefSeq lists it as uncharacterized. The transcript has 3 exons. NCBI's taxonomy places the organism in Eukaryota, Metazoa, Chordata, Mammalia, Carnivora, Hyaenidae. The record is from RefSeq and is a predicted model, not a curated record.